Molecule: ribosomal RNA, 120 nt
Filed under: uncultured bacterium
Lineage: Bacteria
Description: partial 16S ribosomal RNA
Rfam family: Bacterial small subunit ribosomal RNA
Source: RNAcentral
AACGAACGCUGGCGGCAGGCCUAACACAUGCAAGUCGAACGCCUCAGCAAUGGGGAGUGGCAGACGGGUGAGUAACGCGUGGGAACGUGCCCAUCGGUUUGGGAUAACCCAGGGAAACUU